This 585-nucleotide ribosomal RNA is filed under the name Janthinobacterium lividum. Its description in RNAcentral is "bacterial SSU rRNA". It matches the Rfam family "Bacterial small subunit ribosomal RNA", at positions 338 to 916 of the family's 1533-position model. The record is from RNAcentral. Lineage: Bacteria; Pseudomonadati; Pseudomonadota; Betaproteobacteria; Burkholderiales; Oxalobacteraceae.
CCUACGGNAGGCAGCAGUGGGGAAUUUUGGACAAUGGGCGAAAGCCUGAUCCAGCAAUGCCGCGUGAGUGAAGAAGGCCUUCGGGUUGUAAAGCUCUUUUGUCAGGGAAGAAACGGUGAGAGCUAAUAUCUCUUGCUAAUGACGGUACCUGAAGAAUAAGCACCGGCUAACUACGUGCCAGCAGCCGCGGUAAUACGUAGGGUGCAAGCGUUAAUCGGAAUUACUGGGCGUAAAGCGUGCGCAGGCGGUUUUGUAAGUCUGAUGUGAAAUCCCCGGGCUCAACCUGGGAAUUGCAUUGGAGACUGCAAGGCUAGAAUCUGGCAGAGGGGGGUAGAAUUCCACGUGUAGCAGUGAAAUGCGUAGAUAUGUGGAGGAACACCGAUGGCGAAGGCAGCCCCCUGGGUCAAGAUUGACGCUCAUGCACGAAAGCGUGGGGAGCAAACAGGAUUAGAUACCCUGGUAGUCCACGCCCUAAACGAUGUCUACUAGUUGUCGGGUCUUAAUUGACUUGGUAACGCAGCUAACGCGUGAAGUAGACCGCCUGGGGAGUACGGUCGCAAGAUUAAAACUCAAAGGAAUUGACGG